GCCUAAUACAGAAGCUAAUUUUGUUGGAUCAAAAUCAAGGUGCUCAAAGGGCUGGACUUCUUCCGGAGGCCUAGGAAUAAAUUAAUCUCCUUCCCUCUUCUGGUUUCUGAUGGUGGCUGGCAUGGCUUGGCCGGUGGUGGCCUUGUCACUCAGCCCUGCCUGUGUGGUCACCGUCAUCCUUCCUCUCUGUGAGGAGUCUCCUUUGCACUUGGGCCAGCGUCAAGGCCCUGCCUGGAUCAUCUCACACAUCCAUGUCUAUAAUUCAGCAGGACCUGCAAAGAUUUUUAUCCUGUGUUUAAGUUCUCGGUCUACGCUGCAACACUCAAGGAUCCAGAUACCCGGACUCAGGAAGAAAAGCAGCAACGGGCACACAUCCUGCAAGCUCAGGUGAACUCUCAGCAGCCAAUCUGAGUUCAUCGGGUCUUCCUAACCCAUGCAAAAUGGCUGGCUCAUAAAUGGCCAUAUGACCAGUUCUAGCCAGUGGCUUCUGGGAAGAUGCCCACAAAGCUGGUGUCUUCUGUCUGCAGUCUGUAGAUGUGGGACACAGAAACCAUGGCCACCAUCCUAGGGCAAGCCCAAAAAAGUGGGUGAUGUCAAGGCUCCAGAGUAGGGCUAUGGAAAGGAGCUAGGACCUGAAGCAUGCUCCUGAGCGUGGAGCUGUAAGCCUUCAGCUGCAUUGCUGCCUGCCCUGUCCACACUCUGCAUGGCUGCAACCUUGGCUUCUGUGACUGCUACAAGCCCAGGAUAUGAAGUCAUACAGUACCUUUGCCUUAUCUGAGCAAGGAGCCCCUUCCCCUAGAUCAGGGGUCCUCAACCACCCUAAUACUGCGACCCUUUAAUAUAGUUCCUCAUGUUGGGGUGACCCCCAACCAUGAAAUUAUUUUUUGUUGCUACUCAUAACUGUAAUUUUGUCACUGUUAUGAAUUGCAAGGGAAAUAUCUGAUAUGUGACCCCCCCCCAAAGAGUCGCGACCCACAAGUUGAGAUCCACUGCCCUAGAAUGAUAUUACCCAUCUCUAGUACAGAACACACAGAUUCCCCAACACCAGGAACCUGUGCAGGAAACACCCCACACAGAGCUUUCACACUGUGCCAUCUGCCUGCCUAAUGCACCCAGCAGGCUGGGGAACUCAUCCCAUGACCUCAAGGUUUUUAGCCUUUGCAACGUUCACAGUGGUACCCAGGGAUGAGCAGAGCCCCCAUCCUCCAAUCCAGGCAUCCUUCCAUUAAAAUCCCAGAUUCUUAUUCAAAUGUAGCUUCAACCUCAUUCAUUCCUUCCUUUCCAACUAAAGAGAGACUGUGGACCCCCAUGUUGCAGUCCUGGACACAGGCCUGCCUGAGCUGCCCUACCCCUACCCCACCCCCCAAAAAAGACUUGCACAGGAAAAUCAAGGCACAGAGAGAGCUGCCCUCUGCUGGACCGGCCAAGGAUCUGAACCACAGGUCAGUGUCAGAUGCAAGUUUUUUGUGAAAUGGCCUCGAGAUAGACAGAUGAGUUCAAAAUGGCUCAGAACCUCUGUGCUCAGAACCUCAGCACCCACAAGCCAGCCAGGACUCCGUAGCUUGGGAAGCAAGGGGUGUCUGCAGAACCCAGAGGACCCAGAACAGGAUGAGCUUCAAGAGCUACGCACAUAAUUUAGUCUUAAACCCUGGAGUUCGGAGCAAGAGGCAGCUGGGCACUUAGCCUGUUUCCCAGCUCUCAGGGAACAGGACAGAGCUGUCUUCCUUCCUUCCUUCCGGGCUGGGACACACUGCCAGAGCACAAGGGGUCACGGAGAGCCCAGCAGAACCUCCGAGGACCGAGGAGUAGAGGGCUAGCUACCGUGAUGAAUUCCUUGACCGUCAUCCCCUGCACUUCCACUGAGCUUCUCCAGCUCACAGCCCGAAUCCUCUAAGGAGGGCAGUGCAGCAUGGAGAUUAAAGACUUGAAUUGUGGGUCAGUGGGCUCCAGGCUGCAGGGCUGCCUCUGUGCCAGACUACCUGCCUGUUUCCAGCUGUGUGACCUUCAGCAAGCGACUUCACCUCUCUGGUCCUUUUUCUUGUCCACAAAAAUGUGAAUGACACCAGAAGGUCCCUCUCAGGACUUUUGGUGGGGCUAAGAUGAUGUGCGUGCACCAAGCGCCCAGGACCCACCACCCACCCUGCCGCACAGAGAGCAUCUAGAAAUAUGUAGCAACUGCUAAAGAUCCACAGAACUAGACGGUAUGGAGAGUGUGUUCCUGAACACCAAAAACCUCUUCUCUGGCUGGAAGACACAGUGAACUGGUUCUGGAACGGCUCAGAGAUUCCUCACGCUACCCCGGGCUGCAGAAGCUGACCCCCUUGGGCCAGUCUGUGGCCCCAGGCUGGGUUUCAACAUCAGUACUCUGUGACUGACUUCCCCUCUCUGCUCCCAAUGUCUUCAUCUAAGAAGUAAAAUCCUGCAUGGUGUCCAGGUCUCCGGGGUCUCUGGUCUCAUCAUCAACCUGAUGAUACUUUCUGCUAGAUUGACAUCUCUGGUCCUGGUUAAAUUCUGAGUGUUUGCUUAAGCCUUGUUGUCAAGGCCUCAGUGGGUGCCUUCAGUACCUUUCCAGUCCUCAAAGUAGCCUGGACAGAUAAGUCACUGUAUACUCGUUGUACAGAUGGGGAAACCGAGGUACAGAAAUAGGCAUUCGACACGACAACUCCCUAUACAAGUGAUACCCAUGAGAUGGGAGUCUAACUCAUAUUGGUCAAAUUCAACCUUGUACCCUGGUGUUGUCUCCACCCAGACUCUCUAGGGCUCUGAGCCAGUAAAUCACCAGACUUCUCCAUGGGUCUGUCACCUUGGACACGUGAUUUUGCAACUGUGAUGGUGGCCAUACGGCAAGACCAGACCCCAAAGUGGAUGAGCCCAUGCAACCCCGUCAUCACUGGGAUCCACAUGAGGAGAAAGCCAGCUCAAUCCGGCUUGAACAUCCAUGCAUAGUGCUGUGUGCUUGUACUGCAGAGGCAUCUGCACCAGGUGUGUGAGGCGAGGCCCUCGGGAGCCAACCCCACCCUGGAGCGCCUCAGUGAUGGGAGAACCCCAGAAAAGCCCAGACAGGACCACCAGGUCUAGGUUUACAAACUGCUUCUUCCUCCUUCUCCUUCUGAAGCCACAGGAACACCUGAGUCCCACUGGGGAGUCAUGUGACUACACUCCAGCUUGUGUAGCCCAGAGCUGAAGAGACCCCCACACACACAUCGUUGAAACUGCCCUUACCCCCUUACCCAGUCUGUAGAUAGGAGAAUGAGAAGUCUGGUGAACAGGGACCAUCACCAAAAAAAAAAAAAAAAAAAAAAAGACCCUUGCCUGCUUCUCUGCAGCCUCAGAGUCAUCAUAUUGAUGCCAGUGGCUCUUUACAUAUGAUGGAGACUUGAAAUGUUCUUUAGCAGCCGACCCAAACUGCCUACAGCUCAGAACUCUGAUUCUAACCCUGGGACUGCUUGUGCGCACUGCGCCCUUCUCCAGCCAGACUAAGCUUGUCAGGCUCUGCAAGGAACUGGGUUCACUGUCCCUGGCAAUCACCCAUGCUAUGCCUGGGUUGACGCCCUCAUGAGCCAACUGAGACAUCUGAUCCAAGCCCUCAGUCAUGGUCACGCCGGAAGCUUAAGAUCAGCCAGGUGGUGAAUUACACCACAGAAACUGGACACCCUUCCCGCCCCUCCCCAGGAGCCCUAGCUGCUAAGUUUCUAUCAGUGUGAAACUUGAAGUGGCCCAGAUGCCCUUAAAGCAUCUAGUUUUGGGGGCUGGAGAGAUGGCUCAGUGGUUAGGAGCACUGACUGCCCUUCCAGAGCUCCUGAGUUUGAUUCCCAGCAACCACAUGGCGGCUUGCAACCAUCUGUCAUGGGAUUCGAUGCCCUCUUCUGGUGUGUCUGAAGACAGCGUACUCACAUAAAAUAAAUAAAUCUUAAAAAAAAAAAAAAAAGCCGGGCGUGGUGGCGCACGCCUUUAAUCCCAGCACUUGGGAGGCAGAGGCAGGCAGAUUUCUGAGUUUGAGGCCCGCCUGGUCUACAAAGUGAGCUCCAGGACAGCCAGGGCUAUACAGAGAAACCCUGUCAAGAAAAACCGAAAUAAAUAAAUAAAUAAAAGGUUUCUGGUUUUAUCUUUAGUAUCCCAUGCAUUUUGUAGUCAUCCACAGAAUAUUUGUUAGUUCCUUGCAGGAUUUGGGGCUUGCAUAUGGACUGAUAUCAAACUCAACAUCCUCCUGCCUCAGCCUUCUGAAUGGUGGGAUUACAGGCAUGCGUCAUCACACCUGGUUAAAAUCAUCCUUGGCUUCCCUAGGACAUUUUUAAAUGGCCAGCCACCUUGUUAGCAGUGGUGGGGAGAUGGCCCAGUGUUGCCUCCAGCAGCCUGGAGGAGCCCCCUCCCCUCUCAGAGACCUCCACCCAGAGAAAGCUGGAUUUUCCUUUAAUUUUGCCGCAGAAAAGAACUUCAGGACGAGCCAAAGAGAAGUGAAGGUAGUUGGUUUAUUAGAUAUUCAGAUGGAGCCCCACAGAGAAAGACACUACACAGUUCAGACCAGUAUGAGUUCCUCAAGGACAAGUGGCCCUGAGGUAUCUUGACAGUGGCUGCACCUAUGGUUCCCUAAGGAUUUUAUUCUUCGAGGAUUUAAUUUAUGCUAAGGUAUAAAGAUUAGGCAAAGCUUAAACAAAGCUGGCUGAAGUCUGUUAAAGAAUUUCCCUUUUGUGAAUAAAACUGUCAGGUGGUC
RNAcentral lists this long non-coding RNA (4711 nucleotides) under Mus musculus (house mouse). RNAcentral describes it as "partial TCONS_00190258". Lineage: Eukaryota; Metazoa; Chordata; Mammalia; Rodentia; Muridae. The record is from RNAcentral.